GAGGUUAUAGCUCAAGUGGUAGAGUGAAUGUUUAGCAUGCUUGAAGUUCUGGGUUCAAUCCCCAGUACCUUCU
Molecule: transfer RNA, 73 nt
Filed under: Camelus bactrianus (Bactrian camel)
Lineage: Eukaryota; Metazoa; Chordata; Mammalia; Artiodactyla; Camelidae
Also listed under: 2 other names
Rfam family: tRNA
About the family: Transfer RNA (tRNA) molecules are approximately 80 nucleotides in length. Their secondary structure includes four short double-helical elements and three loops (D, anti-codon, and T loops).
Source: Rfam by way of RNAcentral